GUGGGGAAUAUUGGACAAUGGGCGCAAGCCUGAUCCAGCCAUGCCGCGUGAGUGAUGAAGGCCCUAGGGUUGUAAAGCUCUUUCACCGGUGAAGAUAAUGACGGUAACCGGAGAAGAAGCCCCGGCUAACUUCGUGCCAGCAGCCGCGGUAAUACGAAGGGGGCUAGCGUUGUUCGGAAUUACUGGGCGUAAAGCGCACGUAGGCGGGUAUUUAAGUCAGGGGUGAAAUCCCAGGGCUCAACUCUGGAACUGCCUUUGAUACUGGGUACCUAGAGUAUGGAAGAGGUAAGUGGAAUUCCGGGUGUAGAGGUGAAAGUCGUAGAUAUUCGGAGGAACACCAGUGGCGAAGGCGGCUUACUGGUCCAUUACUGACGCUGAGGUGCGAAAGCGUGGGGAGCAAACAGGAUUAGAAACCCUUGUAGUCC
RNAcentral lists this ribosomal RNA (425 nucleotides) under uncultured bacterium. Its description in RNAcentral is "bacterial SSU rRNA". It matches the Rfam family "Bacterial small subunit ribosomal RNA", at positions 354 to 796 of the family's 1533-position model. The record is from RNAcentral.